RNAcentral lists this unclassified non-coding RNA (357 nucleotides) under soil metagenome. RNAcentral describes it as "partial contains 5.8S ribosomal RNA, internal transcribed spacer 2, and large subunit ribosomal RNA". The stretch from base 1 to 120 matches the Rfam family "5.8S ribosomal RNA", at positions 35 to 154 of the family's 154-position model. The record is from RNAcentral.
GAUGAAGAACGCAGCGAAAUGCGAUAAGUAGUGUGAAUUGCAGAAUUCAGUGAAUCAUCGAAUCUUUGAACGCACAUUGCGCCCUUUGGCAUUCCUUAGGGCAUGCCUGUUCGAGCGUCAUUUCAACCCUCAAGUCCCCUGUGGACUUGGUGUUGGGGAUCGGCGAGGCUGGUUUUCCAGCACAGCCGUCCCUUAAAUUAAUUGGCGGUCUCGCCGUGGCCCUCCUCUGCGCAGUAGUAAAACACUCGCAACAGGAGCCCGGCGCGGUCCACUGCCGUAAAACCCCCCAACUUUUUAUAGUUGACCUCGAAUCAGGUAGGACUACCCGCUGAACUUAAGCAUAUCAAUAAGCGGAGG